Long non-coding RNA from Anguilla rostrata (American eel), 511 nucleotides. RefSeq lists it as uncharacterized. Lineage: Eukaryota; Metazoa; Chordata; Actinopteri; Anguilliformes; Anguillidae. The record is from RefSeq and is a predicted model, not a curated record. The transcript has 2 exons.
CGCAUACCUGCUCUGCGUGAUCAGCAGUGAGACUGGCAAAAAACAUUCCCUCGUCACCUGAUACUUUUGGAUGAAAAGGAAAGCUCUACAACGCCUGCGGCGUCGGAGCACCGGGCGAUUCAUGUCACAGGAAACCGAGCACUCCCAGCCGCCUUGGAAUUCAAACCUCCGGGGCUGUUGUUUUUGUGCGGGAGAGAAAAACCGGAUGAUCGAGACGUACAUUCAGUCACCUUUUCAGUUGACAAAGCAGCAACAAAUUGGAUAGCAUUGUUCCGGCUUUCACCCGGAACAGUAUUUGGGGACCCAGCCCCACCACCCCCUUUUAUGUGAAGUAAUCUAAACCUUCAAGCACAGCAAAUCAAUAGGCUACUGUCCCGUGCCAGUGAUGUCCAACUUAGCGAACGCUUUCAUGAGACUUAAAGAAUCAUGGGCUUCGGCACUAGCUGGUCAUGUUUAGUGCCCUUGUGUGUGUGUUUUAAAUAUAAAGUAUCAUUUAGUAACACUGGACAAA